CAGUAGCCACGGUAAUACGAAGGGUGCAAGCGUUAUCCGGAUUCACUGGGUUUAAAGGGUGCGUAGGCGGGCAGGUAAGUCAGUGGUGAAAUCUUCGAGCUUAACUCGGAAACUGCCGUUGAUACUACCUGUCUUGAAUAACGUUGAGGUGAGCGGAAUAUGUCAUGUAGCGGUGAAAUGCUUAGAUAUGACAUAGAACACCGAUUGCGAAGGCAGCUCACUAAACGCUCAUUGACGCUGAGGCACGAAAGCGUGGGGAUCAAACAGGAUUAGAUACCCGAGUAGUCCCUGUCUCUUAUAC
Molecule: ribosomal RNA, 301 nt
Filed under: uncultured bacterium
Lineage: Bacteria
Description: partial 16S ribosomal RNA
Rfam family: Bacterial small subunit ribosomal RNA
Source: RNAcentral